RNAcentral lists this long non-coding RNA (464 nucleotides) under Pelobates cultripes (western spadefoot toad). Lineage: Eukaryota; Metazoa; Chordata; Amphibia; Anura; Pelobatidae. The record is from RNAcentral.
ACAUUCAUAUAAAAAUGAUAUAUUCACAAUCAAUCCAUUCAGGGAAACAACGUAUCAAAAAAUGGCAUGAAUCAGACCAGGGGUUCAGAAGUUAGUAAAGUAUCUUUUGGGGCCUGGCUGGCAGCAUGGCUAUCUGGCCCAAACUGGUUUUACAGAGCCCUCUAGCCUGGAGACAAUGGGGAAAGUAAUCCAAUUAUCCAGGGAUAAAAGCAGACUCCACUGAGCACAUGUUCCCAGUAAAACACAAAAGGAUACAAAAAUACAUAACUCCUAUCAUACUGAAUUGAACGGGCCAAAUCUCCCAGUGUCCAUAGUCACAGGGCAAGAGGCGGGCAAGCAGUCCUCUCCAGGCACAAGUGGUGAAGGGCACUUCGUCACAGUUAGGUAUUCAGUCGGCAUGCGAAUAGAUCCACAUGCAGGGGUCCCCAGAGGUUGGCAAUUUCCUUGAAUAUGGAAGGUUGAAG